Molecule: ribosomal RNA, 514 nt
Filed under: uncultured bacterium
Lineage: Bacteria
Description: bacterial SSU rRNA
Rfam family: Bacterial small subunit ribosomal RNA
Source: RNAcentral
CUACCGUGCCCUGCGGAAUAGCUCCGGGAAACUGGAAUUAAUACCGCAUACGCCCUACGGGGGAAAGAUUUAUCGGGGUAUGAUGAGCCCGCGUUGGAUUAGCUAGUUGGUGGGGUAAAGGCCUACCAAGGCGACGAUCCAUAGCUGGUCUGAGAGGAUGAUCAGCCACAUUGGGACUGAGACACGGCCCAAACUCCUACGGGAGGCAGCAGUGGGGAAUAUUGGACAAUGGGCGCAAGCCUGAUCCAGCCAUGCCGCGUGAGUGAUGAAGGCCUUAGGGUUGUAAAGCUCUUUCACCGGUGAAGAUAAUGACGGUAACCGGAGAAGAAGCCCCGGCUAACUUCGUGCCAGCAGCCGCGGUAAUACGAAGGGGGCUAGCGUUGUUCGGAAUUACUGGGCGUAAAGCGCACGUAGGCGGAUAUUUAAGUCAGGGGUGAAAUCCCAGAGCUCAACUCUGGAACUGCCUUUGAUACUGGGUAUCUUGAGUAUGGAAGAGGUAAGUGGAAUUGCGAGU